GACGAACGCUGGCGGCGUGCUUAACACAUGCAAGUCGAACGGUGAAGCGCCUUCCUUUUUGGUUGGUGGGGAUGAGUGGCGAACGGGUGAGUAACACGUGAGUAACCUGCCCCCUUCUUCUGGAUAACCGCAUGAAAGUGUGGCUAAUACGGGAUAUUCUGCGUCUGUCGCAUGAUGGGUCUGGGACGGAUAUUGUUUCGGUGGGGGAUGGGCGCGCGGCCUAUCAGCUUGUUGGUGCGGUGAGGGCCUACCAGGGGUGUGGCGGGUAGCCGGCCUGGGCGGGUGGCCGGCCACAGUGGGAGUGAGACACGGCCCAGACUGCGAUGGGGGGCAGCAGCGUAGGAGAUGGAGCAGUGGGGGAAAGUCUGAUGCAGGGGGGCCGCGUGAGCGACGGAGGCGUGUGCGGUGUGAACCUCUUUCGCUAGUGAAGCGGGCCUGCCUGGUUUGUGGGUGGGUUGACGGUAGCUGGAUAAGAAGCGCCGGCUAACUACGUG
This 494-nucleotide ribosomal RNA is filed under the name uncultured bacterium. RNAcentral describes it as "partial 16S ribosomal RNA". It matches the Rfam family "Bacterial small subunit ribosomal RNA", at positions 28 to 507 of the family's 1533-position model. The record is from RNAcentral.